RNAcentral lists this ribosomal RNA (1921 nucleotides) under human gut metagenome. RNAcentral describes it as "bacterial LSU rRNA". It matches the Rfam family "Bacterial large subunit ribosomal RNA", at positions 911 to 2925 of the family's 2925-position model. The record is from RNAcentral.
UGACAAGGCUAGGGGGCACACCCGCUUACCAAACCUUAUCAAACUCCGAAUACCGUGCAAUGGAACGUGGCAGUGAGACAGUGGGGGAUAAGCUUCAUUGUCGAGAGGGAAACAACCCAGACCAGCAGCUAAGGUGCCUAAAUAACGCUCAGUGGAAAGGAUGUGGGAUUACACAGACAGUGAGGAUGUUGGCUUAGAAGCAGCCACCAUUUAAAAAAUGCGUAAUAGCUUACUCAUCGAGUGAUCCUGCGCCGAAAAUGAUUGGCGAUCAAGCGUUAUACCGAAGCUCUGGACUUUGCCGCAAGGCAGAGUGGUAGAAGAGCGUUGCAUGCGCGUCGAAGGGCGAUGGCGACUGACCCUGGAGCACAUGCAAGUGAGUAUGCAGACAUGAGUAACGUUAAGCCGGGUGAAAUCCCCGGCCGCCGUAAACCCGAGGUUUCCAGGGCAACGUGUUUCGUCCCUGGGUUAGCCGGGACCUAAGCCGAGGCCGAGAGGCGUAGGCGAUGGACAUCAGGUUAAUAAUCCUGAGCUCGCAACCCUUAAACUGGGGGGACGCAUGAGAAAAGAUGACUAGGUUAUUGAAUUCCGAGUUGAGUCCACGGACUCAGCGCAUCAUUGGAUCGAGUGCCAAGAAAAGCCCCAGCGUAUGCUAAGCGACCCGUACCGCAAACCGACACAGGUGGGUGGGUAGAAUAUACCAAGGCGUAAGAGUGAAACCUGGUUAAGGAACUCGGCAAAUUAGCCCCGUAACUUCGGAAGAAGGGGUGCCUGCAGCGAUGCAGGCCGCAGAGAAAUGGCCCAACCGACUGUUUAUCAAAAACACAGCACUCUGCAAAGACGCAAGUCGAAGUAUAGGGUGUGACACGUGACCAAUGCCGAAAGAUUAAGGCAAGGGGUUAGCCGCAAGGCGAAGCUCUAAACCCAAGUCCCGGUGAAUGUCGGCCGUAACUAUAACGGUCCUAAGGUAGCGAAAUUCCUUGUCGGGUAAGUUCCGACCUGCACGAAUCGUGAAACGAGUUGGGCACUGUCUCAACCAGGCGCUCAGUGAAAUUGUAGUGGCGGUGAAGAUGCCGCCUACCCGCAGAAGGACGGAAAGACCCUAUAGACCUUAACUGUAAGCUGUCAUUGUUUCUUCGGUUUUAAUGCUCAGAGUAAGUGGGAGACGCUGAAGACGCCCUUUAGGGGGCGUCCGAGUCAUCAAUGAGACACCACCCUUUGAAACUGGAGGAUCUAACCCUGAGCCGUGAAUCCGGCCAGAGGACCGUGUCAGCCGGUCAGUUUUACUGGGGCGGUAUCCUCCCAAAGAGUAACGGAGGAGCGCGAAGGUGGGCUCAGCCCGGUUGGCAACCGGGUGUCGAGUGCAUGGGCAUAAGCCCGCCUAACUGUGAGACCAACAAGUCGAGCAGAUGCGAAAGCAGGCCCAAGUGAUCCGGCGGUAGAAAGUGGAAUUGCCGUCGCUCAACGGAUAAAAGGUACCUUAGGGAUAACAGGCUGAUCACGCCCAAGAGUUCAUAUCGACGGCGUGGUUUGGCACCUCGAUGUCGGCUCGUCGCAUCCUGGGGCUGGAGAAGGUCCCAAGGGUCCGGCUGUUCGCCGGUUAAAGCGGCACGCGAGCUGGGUUCAGAACGUCGCGAGACAGUUCGGUCCUCUAUCCUCUGUGGGCGUUGGAAAAUUGAGGGGUUCAGACCUUAGUACGAGAGGACCGGGUCUGACGCACCACUGGUGCAUCGGUUGUACUGUCAAGUGCAUGGCCGAGUAGCUAAGUGCGGACGGGAUAAGCGCUGAAAGCAUCUAAGCGCCAAGCCCUUCCCAAGAUGAGUUUUCCCUACAGGUUCGUGGAAGACCACCACGUUGAUAGGUCGCAGGUGUAAGUGCAGCAAUGUAUUGAGCCGAGCGAUACUAAUUACCAAUUGACUUCAUC